GCGUCGGUGGUUUAAUGGUAAAAUCAUCGCUUCCCAUGCGAUGGCUCCGGGUUCGAUUCCCGGCCGACGCA
This 71-nucleotide transfer RNA is filed under the name Ascocoryne sarcoides NRRL 50072. RNAcentral's name for it is "tRNA-Gly (CCC) (tRNA-Gly-CCC-1-1, tRNA-Gly-CCC-1-2)". It matches the Rfam family "tRNA". From Rfam's summary of the family: Transfer RNA (tRNA) molecules are approximately 80 nucleotides in length. Their secondary structure includes four short double-helical elements and three loops (D, anti-codon, and T loops). Further hydrogen bonds mediate the characteristic L-shaped molecular structure. tRNAs have two regions of fundamental functional importance: the anti-codon, which is responsible for specific mRNA codon recognition, and the 3' end, to which the tRNAs corresponding amino acid is attached (by aminoacyl-tRNA synthetases). tRNAs cope with the degeneracy of the genetic code in two manners: having more than one tRNA (with a specific anti-codon) for a particular amino acid; and 'wobble' base-pairing, i.e. permitting non-standard base-pairing at the 3rd anti-codon position. Lineage: Eukaryota; Fungi; Ascomycota; Leotiomycetes; Helotiales; Gelatinodiscaceae. The record is from RNAcentral.